GGAUGCGAUCAUACCAGCACUAAAGCAUCGGAUCCCAUCAGAACUCCGAAGUUAAGCGUGCUUGGGCGAGAGUAGUACUAGGAUGGGUGACCUCCGGGGAAGUCCUCGUGUUGCAUUCC
Molecule: ribosomal RNA, 119 nt
Filed under: Triticum aestivum (bread wheat)
Lineage: Eukaryota; Viridiplantae; Streptophyta; Magnoliopsida; Poales; Poaceae
Also listed under: 1 other name
Source: RNAcentral